CCUACGGGUGGCAGCAGUGGGGAAUAUUGCACAAUGGGGGAAACCCUGAUGCAGCAACGCCGCGUGAGUGAUGACGGCCUUCGGGUUGUAAAGCUCUGUCUGCAGGGACGAGAAUGACGGUACCUGAGGAGGAAGCCACGGCUACCGACGUGCCAGCAGCCGCGGCAAUACGGAGGUGGCGAGCGUUGUCCGGAUUUCCUGGGCGUAAAGGGAGCGUAGGCGGUCUUUUAAGUGAGAUGUGAAAUCCUCGGGCUCAACUUGAGUGCUGCAUUUCAAACUGGCAGGCUAGAGUGCAGGAGAGGGGAGUGGAAUUCCUAGUGUAGCUGUGAAAUGCGUAGAGAUUAGGCAGAACACCAGUGGCGAAGGCGCUUCUCUGGACUGUACCUGACGCUGAGGCUCGAAAGCGUGGGGAGCAAACAGGAUUAGAUACCCUUGUAGUC
This 440-nucleotide ribosomal RNA is filed under the name uncultured bacterium. Its description in RNAcentral is "partial 16S ribosomal RNA". It matches the Rfam family "Bacterial small subunit ribosomal RNA", at positions 338 to 795 of the family's 1533-position model. The record is from RNAcentral.